Molecule: transfer RNA, 77 nt
Filed under: Phocaeicola vulgatus
Lineage: Bacteria; Pseudomonadati; Bacteroidota; Bacteroidia; Bacteroidales; Bacteroidaceae
Also listed under: 43 other names
Description: tRNA-Ile
Rfam family: tRNA
About the family: Transfer RNA (tRNA) molecules are approximately 80 nucleotides in length.
Source: RNAcentral
GGGCGCAUAGCUCAGGUGGUUAGAGCGCACGCCUGAUAAGCGUGAGGUCGGUGGUUCGAGUCCACUUGUGCCCACCA